UACCCGUAUUGCGUAGUGGUAACGCACCAGUUUGCAAAACUGUCCACCCGGGUUCGAUUCCCGGUACGGUCU
Molecule: transfer RNA, 72 nt
Filed under: Planoprotostelium fungivorum
Lineage: Eukaryota; Evosea; Variosea; Cavosteliida; Cavosteliaceae
Description: tRNA-Cys
Rfam family: tRNA
About the family: Transfer RNA (tRNA) molecules are approximately 80 nucleotides in length.
Source: RNAcentral